AACGCACAUUGCGCCCAUUAGUAUUCUAGUGGGCAUGCCUAUUCGAGCGUCAUUUCAACCCUUACGCCCUGUAGCGUAGUGUUGGGAAUCUACCAGCAGGUAGUUCCUCAAAUCGAUUGGCGGAGUUAGCACAUACUCUAGGCGUAGUAAUACCAUUCUCGCUUCGGUAGUAGUGCUAGCGGCUAGCCACUAAACCCCCUAUAUUUCUAGUGGUUGACCUCGGAUUAGGUAGGAAUACCCGCUGAACUUAA
Molecule: unclassified non-coding RNA, 251 nt
Filed under: uncultured Xylariales
Lineage: Eukaryota; Fungi; Ascomycota; Sordariomycetes; Xylariales
Description: sequence contains 5.8S rRNA gene, ITS2, 28S rRNA gene
Source: RNAcentral